CUCACAUUUGAGAGAUAAAUACACAAGAGACAUAUCAUUACGUUGAAAAACAUUGGAAGAGAAAUAAAUGGUUAUUGAAGCCUCCACCACCUCUAUAUGCGAAUAAUGCAAUCAGUGAAACUUCCCCAGAUUUGAUGUUCAUCAACACGCAAUCCAUUCAUCUUCUCCUAAAAACAGAUUAUAGGGUGCUUCGAUGCUUCAAGGCUUCGUUUGGAAAUUCGAGAGCAGCAGCAGAGCAGAGUUGAGGUUUGAUCACUAGAAGCCCAUUGUGCACCCAAAACCGAUUGACACAAAAGGACUUGGUUGACUAGUAAUGUGAUGGCUGUCGUUUGAUAAUGCUUCAGUCCUCAACGUUUUGAAGAUUAUCCGUCAACCACUGCACCUGCCGAAACACGUGAACAACGAUCAUGUGCAAUGCCAAAAUU
This is a long non-coding RNA of Uranotaenia lowii, 425 nucleotides long. RefSeq lists it as uncharacterized. The record is from RefSeq and is a predicted model, not a curated record. The transcript is spliced from 3 exons. Lineage: Eukaryota; Metazoa; Arthropoda; Insecta; Diptera; Culicidae.